Molecule: long non-coding RNA, 1649 nt
Filed under: Homo sapiens (human)
Lineage: Eukaryota; Metazoa; Chordata; Mammalia; Primates; Hominidae
Description: non-protein coding lnc-SGTB-6:1
Source: RNAcentral
ACAAAACUCCAUGGACGUUUCAGCUGCUCAAACACCAGUGGCCUGAGCACUGGCCAGCUCCAAAAAGCAUCCUUGUGUAUUGGUUCUCCCUCCUUUCCUGAGUCUCUUUCUGGAAUCAUAGGAGAAUUUCCCCAAUAAAAAGCAAUAAAAUACAAAUAGAAAUGCAGUGUGCACCCUUCAGACCCAGAUAAAGAACAACAAAGCCAUGCUGAAAUGUCAGUGCUCAUUGCUGGGAGUCCUGCUGGGGACCUAGCCAGACCUCAGCACUCCCAUCCUGUCCAGCACACACACACCUCAUCCCCAACUUCCUCCUGAGCCCAAUGAUUCACACACAGCAGGAACAAUUCAAACUUGUCCCUCAGUAAGAUUACAAAUUACCAGACCCCAUGGUUCUAAAACUAAUGGCUGAGAGGUAUAGAGUACCCACGGGAUACCAGGUGCUGUAUGAAGUGCUGUCUAUACAUUUAUCUCAUUUCAUUCAGCUCAACUGAAUGAGAAGAAUACUAUUGUUACCCCACAGACACACUUCUGAUGAGAUGCUUAAAUUUAGUGAAUUAGACACUUUGGCAAGUAUCUGACCAAUUCACAAUCAUCUUCAAUCUCCUGAACUCCCCGAUCUUUGCCCCACAAUCCAGAAAUGGAACUUCCCAAGAAACAUGCUUUUACCACCUGGUGCUGUCCAAUGGGCCAUUCAAAAGCCCAAAUUUGAACUGACAGCAAGAGAGACUGAAAGUUGGUUGCUAAGUCUUAGCAGCAGAGACUGGAAAGAGGUACAGUGAGCUCCCGCUGCCAACAUCAGGCAGCCUUUGCAGCCCAUGAGAGAUCUUCCAGCGAGCUCUUUUUCCAAAGCUAGAUUUCUGUUCCUUGCUAUGACCUCCGUGACUCUGAUGGCAGAACGCAAGGGGGAGCAUCACCCACUCCAGGAACGAGAAAGAGCCCUAUGCCGCAAGGUAGACCUUACCCACUCCAGCCUUGCCAAUUCCAUUUGCAGGAGCCAAGGGGGCCGCAGAACUCAGAGUGCUCUGGCAAGACCUCUUUGCCCUUCCUUCUCCCGUCACUCACACCCUGACUACACCCUCUGCCUUGUCACCAUCAGAUCCUUUAUCUCUGCUACAUCAGCCACCAUAAGAAGCCCAGGACUCCAAAGCAUCUGUGUGUCUUUUCUGACCCCUAUUUCCUACAACUACCCACCCUUAGCUUCUGACAUUCUUCCACCACACCUGCUGGAUCACACAAUGAGUCCUCAAGAAAAUCACCCGUUGGCCGGGCACAAUGGCUCUCACCUGUACUCCCAGAACUUUGGGAGGUUGAGGCCGGCAGAUUGCCUGAGGUCAGGAGUUUGAGACCAGCCUGGCCAACAUAGUGAAACCCCGUCUCUACUAAACAUACAAAAAUUGGCCAGUGUGGUGGCGGGUGCCUAUAGUCCCAGCUACUCAGGAGGCUGAGACAGGAAAAUCACUCGAACCCGGGAGGCAGAGGUUGCAGUGAGCCCAGAUUGCACCACUACACUUCAGCCUGGGCAACAAAGCAAGACUCUAUCUCCAAAAAAAAAAAAAAGAAAAGAAAGUCACUUCUCUUCUUAGCCUCCUCUGGGCUCAUUUCCUUCACCUCUUGCUCUAACUGAAGCCUGAGGAUGCUGCUUCUCCUGC